Molecule: long non-coding RNA, 478 nt
Organism: Oreochromis aureus
Lineage: Eukaryota; Metazoa; Chordata; Actinopteri; Cichliformes; Cichlidae
Source: Ensembl
AGCAGAGUGUCAGUCAUCUAGACCUACAGCAGACAACUCUGAGCAUGAGGUGCAUUCUGUUGGAGGUCAGCGUGGCACUUCUUCUCUGAAAGAGUUAAUUGGUGAAGUUGGUGUCCAGUAUCAGGAGUUGUCACCCCAAGCGUUCUCAGAAGAACUUACCAGUGAGAGCAAAUCGAAAGAGGUGCCACAAUCAUCCAGAGCUGUGCCUAAUGACUCUGCUUGUGAGUGUACAAUUCAUAGGCUGGUAUUUGAAUCGGUGAAACUUGACAAAUGUGGGAUAUGCCAUUCACCUUUGACAGCUAUCAGAUGGCACGGUCUAAGAUGCAAGCAAUGCUGUUGUGUGUGGCAUAAGAUCUGCCUCCAGACAUCUUCAGAAGACUGGGAUAUGUCCGACGUAAGUGUACAGUGAAAUUCAACCUGGAAAAGACUCAGAUACGGAGAAAGAAUUAGACAUGCUUUAUUGAACAUUAAAUAUUUG